GACACACCUGGAAUAACUCCUAGAAACCUCUGAUCACAAAUGGAAUGGAUCAUAAUUGAUUUGGAAUGAAAUUAGAAAAUUCUGGAAAAUUGACCUUUAGCGACGAAAAAUCUGAUGAACACCGUCGCUGAAAACCCUUUAGCAACGAAAAAUCUGAUGAACACCGUCGCUAAAAACCUUUUGUGACGAAAAAGCUUCAUAUUUCUGGGUAGAUAGCAGCUAGUCUUUUUUGGGUUUUAGGCCACUUUUUUAGCUUCAAAUCUCCCUAAAACGUCAUGUAAAACACUUGAG
Molecule: long non-coding RNA, 291 nt
Filed under: Prunus persica (peach)
Lineage: Eukaryota; Viridiplantae; Streptophyta; Magnoliopsida; Rosales; Rosaceae
Description: long non-coding RNA (PPER_LNC006917)
Source: RNAcentral